AGUGAACGCUGGCGGUAGGCCUAACACAUGCAAGUCGAACGGCAGCACAGUAAGAGCUUGCUCUUACGGGUGGCGAGUGGCGGACGGGUGAGGAAUACAUCGGAAUCUACUUUUUCGUGGGGGAUAACGUAGGGAAACUUACGCUAAUACCGCAUACGACCUACGGGUGAAAGCAGGGGAUCUUCGGACCUUGCGCGAUUGAAUGAGCCGAUGUCGGAUUAGCUAGUUGGCGGGGUAAAGGCCCACCAAGGCGACGAUCCGUAGCUGGUCUGAGAGGAUGAUCAGCCACACUGGAACUGAGACACGGUCCAGACUCCUACGGGAGGCAGCAGUGGGGAAUAUUGGACAAUGGGCGGAAGCCUGAUCCAGCCAUACCGCGUGGGUGAAGGAAGCCUUCGGGUUGUAAAGCCCUUUUGUUGGGAAAGAAAAGCAGCAGGUUAAUACCCCGCUGUUCUGACGGUACCCAAAGAAUAAGCAACGGCUAACUUCGUG
This 492-nucleotide ribosomal RNA is filed under the name uncultured bacterium. RNAcentral describes it as "partial 16S ribosomal RNA". It matches the Rfam family "Bacterial small subunit ribosomal RNA", at positions 29 to 507 of the family's 1533-position model. The record is from RNAcentral.